CGCUCCGCCUCCGCGCUGGGCUCGGCCCGGGGCCGGGCGGUUCGUUUGGACGAGUUCUCGUUAGAACGAGUCGCCCCCGACGAGACGCAGCGGCAACAACCGAGACACCGGGGACACCGCGGGCACCGCAGCACCGAGCGCAACGGGGGGCGCUACACGGACGGGGACACAGGUGGGAACCGGGGGGGUCCUUCGUUAUGGGUCCUGUGGGGUCAAUGGGGGGGUCCCGUGGGUGGCACUGUCCCAUUAUUGGGUCCUAUGGGGUCAGUGGGGGGGUCCCAUGGGGUCCCACUGGGUGCCCACGGGUGGCACCAUCCCAUUAUUGGGUCCUAUGGGGUCAGUGGGGGGGUCCCAUGGGGUCCCACUGGGUGCCCACGGGUGGCACUGUCCCAUUAUUGGGGUCAAUGUGGGGGUCCCAUGGGUGCCCAUAAAUGGCACUGUCUCAUUAUUGGGUCCUAUGGGGUCAAUGGGGGGGUCCCAUGGGUGGCACUGUCCCAUUAUUGAGUCCUAUGGGGGGUCCCAUGGGGUCCCACUGGGUGCCCACGGGUGGCACUGUCCCAUCAUUGGGGUCAAUGGGGGGGUCCCAUGGGUGCCCAUAAAUGGCACUGUCCCAUUAUUGGGUCCUAUGGGGUCAAUGAGAUGGUCCCAUGGGGUCACUGGGUCCCCAUGGGUGGCAUCAUCCCAUUAUUGGGUCCUAUGGGGUCAAUGGGGGGGUCCCAUGGGGUCCCACUGGGUGGCACUGUCCCAUUAUUGGGUCCUAUGGGGUCAAUGGGGGGGUCCCAUGGGGUCCCACUGGGUGCCUGUGGGUGUUACUGUCCCAUUAUUGGGACCUAUGGGGGGUCCCAUGGGGUCCCACUGGGUGCCCACGGGUGGCAUCAUCCCCCAUAUUGCGCCUCCCCAUUAG
RNAcentral lists this long non-coding RNA (904 nucleotides) under Coturnix japonica (Japanese quail). Its description in RNAcentral is "lncRNA (ENSCJPG00005001966.1)". Lineage: Eukaryota; Metazoa; Chordata; Aves; Galliformes; Phasianidae. The record is from RNAcentral.